AUGAACGCUGGCGGCGUGCCUAAUACAUGCAAGUCGAGCGAACAGACGAGGAGCUUGCUCCUCUGACGUUAGCGGCGGACGGGUGAGUAACCCGUGGAUAACCUACCUAUAAGACUGGGAUAACUUCGGGAAACCGGAGCUAAUACCGGAUAAUAUAUUGAACCGCCUGGUUCUAUAGUGAAAGACGGUUUUGCUGUCACUUAUAGAUGGAUCCGCGCCGCAUUAGCUAGUUGGUAAGGUAACGGCUUAACCAGGCGACGAUGCGUAGACGACCUGAGAGGGUGAGGGGCCACACUGGAAGUGAGACACGGUACAGACUCCUACGGGAGGCAGCAGUAGGGAAUCUUCCGCAAUGGGCGAAAGCCUGACGGAGCAACGCCGCGUGAGUGAUGAAGGUCUUCGGAGCGUAAAACUCUGUUAUGAGGGAAGAACAAAUGUGUAAGUAACUAUGCACGUCUUGACGGUACCUAAUCAGAAAGCCACGGCUAACUACGUG
RNAcentral lists this ribosomal RNA (496 nucleotides) under uncultured bacterium. RNAcentral describes it as "partial 16S ribosomal RNA". It matches the Rfam family "Bacterial small subunit ribosomal RNA", at positions 29 to 507 of the family's 1533-position model. The record is from RNAcentral.